CCCCGGCGCCACGAGUGGUUAUCACGAUUAUUGGGCCUAAAGCGUUCGUAGCCGGUCUGGUAAAUCUCUUGUGAAAUUGUUCGGCUUAACCGGACAGCGUGCAGGAGACACUGCCAGACUCGAGACCGGGAGGGGUUAGAAGUAUUCCAUGGGGACUGGUAAAAUGGGAUAAUCCAUGGAAGACUACCGAUGGCGAAGGCAUCUAACCAGAACGGAUCUGACGGUGAGGAACGAAAGCCAGGGGAGCGAACCGG
This 254-nucleotide ribosomal RNA is filed under the name uncultured prokaryote. RNAcentral describes it as "partial 16S ribosomal RNA". It matches the Rfam family "Archaeal small subunit ribosomal RNA", at positions 474 to 727 of the family's 1478-position model. The record is from RNAcentral.